GCACUGGGUGAAGUUUGUCUUA
Molecule: microRNA, 22 nt
Filed under: Drosophila persimilis
Lineage: Eukaryota; Metazoa; Arthropoda; Insecta; Diptera; Drosophilidae
Also listed under: 1 other name
Description: dpe-miR-309
Gene: dpe-miR-309
Source: miRBase by way of RNAcentral